Molecule: non-coding RNA, 30 nt
Filed under: Bos taurus (domestic cattle)
Lineage: Eukaryota; Metazoa; Chordata; Mammalia; Artiodactyla; Bovidae
Also listed under: 14 other names
Source: RNAcentral
UCCGUAGGUGAACCUGCGGAGGGAUCAUUG